This 253-nucleotide ribosomal RNA is filed under the name uncultured bacterium. RNAcentral describes it as "partial 16S ribosomal RNA". It matches the Rfam family "Bacterial small subunit ribosomal RNA", at positions 524 to 776 of the family's 1533-position model. The record is from RNAcentral.
UACGAAGGGGACUAGCGCUGCACGGAAUGACUGGGAGUAAAGGGCGCGCAGGCGGCUUACAUAGUUAGGCGUGAAAUUCCUGGGCUCAACCUGGGGACUGCGUCUAAUCCAUGUAGGCUUGAGUGUGAAAGAGGGUCGUGGAAUUUCCAGUGUAGAGGUGAAAUUCGUAGCUAUUGGAAAGAACACCGGUGGCGAAGGCGGCGACCUGGUUCAUUACUGACGCUGAGGCGCGAAAGCGUGGGGAGCAAACAGG